RNAcentral lists this ribosomal RNA (251 nucleotides) under uncultured bacterium. RNAcentral describes it as "partial 16S ribosomal RNA". It matches the Rfam family "Bacterial small subunit ribosomal RNA", at positions 524 to 775 of the family's 1533-position model. The record is from RNAcentral.
UACGAAGGGGCUAGCGUUGCUCGGAAUCACUGGGCGUAAAGGGUGCGUAGGCGGGUUUUUAAGUCAGAGGUGAAAUCCUGGAGCUCAACUCCAGAACUGCCUUUGAUACUGAAAGUCUUGAGUAUGGGAGAGGUGAGUGGAACUGCGAGUGUAGAGGUGAAAUUCGUAGAUAUUCGCAAGAACACCAGUGGCGAAGGCGGCUCACUGGCCCAUAACUGACGCUGAGGCACGAAAGCGUGGGGAGCAACAGG